GAUGAACGCUAGCGGCAGGCCUAAUACAUGCAAGCCGAACGGCAAGAUUUCAGCAAUGGAAAUCCUAGAGUGGCGUAAGGGUGCGUAACACGUAUGCAAUCUGCCCUCAACAGGAGGAUAGCUCCCCGAAAGGGGAACUAAGACUCCAUAAGAUCUUAGAGUGGCAUCACUUAGAGAUUAAACUACCAGGGGUUGAGGAUGAGCAUGCGCAUGGAUUAGUUAGUUGGCGGGGUAACGGCCCACCAAGACGAUGAUCAUUAGGGGAACUGAGAGGUUGAUCCCCCACACUGGCACUGAGAUACGGGCCAGACUCCUACGGGGAGGCAGCAGUAGGGAAUAUUGGACAAU
This 348-nucleotide ribosomal RNA is filed under the name uncultured bacterium. Its description in RNAcentral is "bacterial SSU rRNA". It matches the Rfam family "Bacterial small subunit ribosomal RNA", at positions 28 to 372 of the family's 1533-position model. The record is from RNAcentral.